This 253-nucleotide ribosomal RNA is filed under the name uncultured bacterium. RNAcentral describes it as "partial 16S ribosomal RNA". It matches the Rfam family "Bacterial small subunit ribosomal RNA", at positions 524 to 776 of the family's 1533-position model. The record is from RNAcentral.
UACGUAGGGACCAAGCGUUGUUCGGAUUUACUGGGCGUAAAGGGCGUGCAGGCGGCUUGUUAAGUGCAGGGUGAAAGCUCCCGGCUCAACUGGGAGAGGUUCUUGCAUACUGGCGAGCUCGAGGGAGGCAGAGGAAAGUGGAAUUCCCGGUGUAGUGGUGAUAUGCGUAGAUAUCGGGAGGAACACCUGUGGCGAAGGCGGCUUUCUGGGCCUUACCUGACGCUGAGACGCGAAAGCGUGGGGAGCGAACCGG